UCUAAUAUGGCAGAUUAGUGCAAUGGGUUUAAACUCCAAAUAUAAAGAUUCUCUUUUUUUAGAA
Molecule: transfer RNA, 64 nt
Filed under: Phygasia ornata
Lineage: Eukaryota; Metazoa; Arthropoda; Insecta; Coleoptera; Chrysomelidae
Description: tRNA-Leu
Rfam family: tRNA
About the family: Transfer RNA (tRNA) molecules are approximately 80 nucleotides in length. Their secondary structure includes four short double-helical elements and three loops (D, anti-codon, and T loops).
Source: RNAcentral